This is a long non-coding RNA of Xenopus tropicalis (tropical clawed frog), 312 nucleotides long. RefSeq lists it as uncharacterized. The record is from RefSeq and is a predicted model, not a curated record. Lineage: Eukaryota; Metazoa; Chordata; Amphibia; Anura; Pipidae. The transcript has 3 exons.
AAACUGUUAUAAGAUCUCCCUUAUCAAAUGAUCAUUUAUCUCUGCAGAAAAGAUAUGAAAAACAGCAAGUGAAACCAGCUACUUCAACUAUGAACCCAAAAAGUAAAGAGGAGAAAAUCAAACAUGAUGCAUAUGUGAAGAAAACCCAAGAUACAACAAAGGGAAUGGAUCUAGUGAGAGGUACCAGGGCCUUAGUAGAGACAGCAAUAAAGGAUAAGAAGAUAUUUGCUCUCCAUGGCCAUUAUCCUGUUUUGCGGAGAUGCCUAGAAAACAGAGGAUGGUUAGAAAAAACAAGUUUCAGAACUGGUAAGG